AACGAACGCUGGCGGCAUGCCUAACACAUGCAAGUCGAACGAGACCUUCGGGUCUAGUGGCGCACGGGUGCGUAACGCGUGGGAACCUGCCCUUAGGUUCGGAAUAACUCCCCGAAAGGGGUGCUAAUACCGGAUAAUGUCUUCGGACCAAAGAUUUAUCGCCUUUGGAUGGGCCCGCUUUGGAUUAGCUAGUUGGUAGGGUAAAAGCCUACCAAGGCGACGAUCCAUAGCUGGUCUGAGAGGAUGAUCAGCCACACUGGGACUGAGACACGGCCCAGACUCCUACGGGAGGCAGCAGUGGGGAAUAUUGGACAAUGGGCGAAAGCCUGAUCCAGCAAUGCCACGUGAGUGAUGAAGGCCUUAGGGUUGUAAAGCUCUUUUACCCGGGAUGAUAAUGACAGUACCGGGAGAAUAAGCUCCGGCUAACUCCGUG
This 433-nucleotide ribosomal RNA is filed under the name uncultured bacterium. RNAcentral describes it as "partial 16S ribosomal RNA". It matches the Rfam family "Bacterial small subunit ribosomal RNA", at positions 29 to 507 of the family's 1533-position model. The record is from RNAcentral.